RNAcentral lists this transfer RNA (73 nucleotides) under Candidatus Gottesmanbacteria bacterium RIFCSPHIGHO2_01_FULL_39_10. RNAcentral describes it as "tRNA-Arg". It matches the Rfam family "tRNA". From Rfam's summary of the family: Transfer RNA (tRNA) molecules are approximately 80 nucleotides in length. Lineage: Bacteria; Candidatus Gottesmaniibacteriota. The record is from RNAcentral.
GACCCGGUAGCUCAACGGAUAGAGCAACUUCCUUCUAAGAAGUAGGUUGAGAGUUCGAUUCUCUCCCGGGUCG